Molecule: unclassified non-coding RNA, 232 nt
Filed under: Hevea brasiliensis (rubber tree)
Lineage: Eukaryota; Viridiplantae; Streptophyta; Magnoliopsida; Malpighiales; Euphorbiaceae
Source: RNAcentral
UUGCAAUCUUCCUUUCUGGAGAAUAAUAUCAUAGCCUCAUUCACAAAGUUUAGGGUUUAGGAUUCGGGUUUACCCAUACAAUUUUUUGUGUGUGUGUGUGAGAGAGAUACAGACAAUAUACAUGUGCAUCACGUACAUAACGAGGCUCAGAUGUCAAUUUAAUAAUCACCAUUGAGUCCACCAGAAACUGACAUGGCUGCUACCUCUCCUGGUAACCCCGCCAAGAUACCGG